GGAGAUAGUAAAAGACAAUGUAGAUUUCUGAGUAAUGGGGAGGAUAACUACUCUCUAGGGAAGAAAAU
RNAcentral lists this unclassified non-coding RNA (68 nucleotides) under Trypanosoma brucei. RNAcentral describes it as "gCYb[560A]". The record is from RNAcentral. Lineage: Eukaryota; Euglenozoa; Kinetoplastea; Trypanosomatida; Trypanosomatidae.